This 405-nucleotide ribosomal RNA is filed under the name uncultured bacterium. Its description in RNAcentral is "bacterial SSU rRNA". It matches the Rfam family "Bacterial small subunit ribosomal RNA", at positions 355 to 774 of the family's 1533-position model. The record is from RNAcentral.
UGGGGGAUAUUGCACAAUGGAGGAAACUCUGAUGCAGCGACGCCGCGUGAGGGAAGAAGGCCUUCGGGUUGUAAACCUCUGUCUUUGGGGACGAAGAAAAUGACGGUACCCAAGGAGGAAGCCACGGCUAACUACGUGCCAGCAGCCGCGGUAAUACGUAGGUGGCAAGCGUUGUCCGGAAUUACUGGGUGUAAAGGGUGCGCAGGCGGGAUGGCAAGUUGGAUGUGGAAACUCCGGGCUCAACCCGGAGCCUGCAUUCAAAACUGCUGUUCUUGAGUGAAGUAGAGGCAGGCGGGAUUCCCGGUGUAGCGGUGAAAUGCGUAGAUAUCGGGAGGAACACCAGUGGCGAAGGCGGCCUGCUGGGCUUUUACUGACGCUGAGGCACGAAAGCAUGGAUAGCAAACA